Molecule: ribosomal RNA, 433 nt
Filed under: uncultured bacterium
Lineage: Bacteria
Description: partial 16S ribosomal RNA
Rfam family: Bacterial small subunit ribosomal RNA
Source: RNAcentral
AACGAACGCUGGCGGCAGGCCUAACACAUGCAAGUCGAGCGAGGACUUCGGUCCUAGCGGCGGACGGGUGAGUAACGCGUGGGAACGUGCCCUUUGCUUCGGAAUAGCCCUGGGAAACUGGGAGUAAUACCGGAUGAGCCCUUUGGGGGAAAGAUUUAUCGGCGAAGGAUCGGCCCGCGUUGGAUUAGGUAGUUGGUGGGGUAAUGGCCUACCAAGCCGACGAUCCAUAGCUGGUUUGAGAGGAUGAUCAGCCACACUGGGACUGAGACACGGCCCAGACUCCUACGGGAGGCAGCAGUGGGGAAUCUUAGACAAUGGGGGAAACCCUGGUCUAGCCAUGCCGCGUGAGCGAUGAAGGCCUUAGGGUUGUAAAGCUCUUUCAGCUGGGAAGAUAAUGACGGUACCAGCAGAAGAAGCCCCGGCUAACUCCGUG